GGCGAGAGACCGAUAGCGAACAAGUACCGUGAGGGAAAGAUGAAAAGAACUUUGAAAAGAGAGUAAAAUAGUGCGUGAAAUUGUUGAAAGGGAAACGAUUGAAGUCAGUCGUACCGACGGACAAUCAGCCUUUUGAGUGCGAUUCUGUGGGGCAUGAGGAGGAAACCCUCAUGUUUUGCAUAUUUGUGCUCUUUGGGCGUAUUUGUUCGUAUGGUGGGUUAACAUCAAUUUUGGUCGUCAUAAAA
Molecule: ribosomal RNA, 245 nt
Filed under: Glomus cf. sinuosum
Lineage: Eukaryota; Fungi; Glomeromycota; Glomeromycetes; Glomerales; Glomeraceae
Description: partial 23S ribosomal RNA
Rfam family: Eukaryotic large subunit ribosomal RNA
Source: RNAcentral